UAGCUAGUUGGUGAGGUAACGGCUUACCAAGGCGACGAUCUGUAGCGGGUCUGAGAGGAUGAUCCGCCACACUGGAACUGAGACACGGUCCAGACUCCUACGGGAGGCAGCAGUGGGGAAUUUUGGACAAUGGGGGCAACCCUGAUCCAGCCAUGCCGCGUGAGUGAAGAAGGCCUUCGGGUUGUAAAGCUCUUUCGGCCGGGAAGAAAUCGCAUGGGCCAAUACCCUGUGUGGAUGACGGUACCGGAAUAAGAAGCACCGGCUAACUACGUGCCAGCAGCCGCGGUAAUACGUAGGGUGCGAGCGUUAAUCGGAAUUACUGGGCGUAAAGCGUGCGCAGGCGGUUUUGUAAGACAGGCGUGAAAUCCCCGGGCUCAACCUGGGAACUGCGUUUGUGACUGCAAGGCUAGAGUACGGCAGAGGGGGGUGGAAUUCCACGUGUAGCAGUGAAAUGCGUAGAGAUGUGGAGGAACACCAAUGGCGAAGGCAGCCCCCUGGGUCGAUACUGACGCUCAUGCACGAAAGCGUGGGUAGCAAACAGGAUUAGAUACCCUGGUAGUCCACGCCCUAAACUAUGUCAACUAGGUGUUGGGUGGGUAAAACCAUUUAGUACCGUAGCUAACGCGUGAAGUUGACCGCCUGGGGAGUACGGCCGCAAGGUUAAAACUCAAAGGAAUUGACGGGGACCCGCACAAGCGGUGGAUGAUGUGGAUUAAUUCGAUGCAACGCGAAAAACCUUACCUACCCUUGACAUGCCAGGAACUUGCCAGAGAUAGCUUGGUGCCCGAAAGGGAGCCUGGACACAGGUGAUGCAUGGCUGUCGUCAGCUCGUGUCGUGAGAUGUUGGGUUAAGUCCCGCAACGAGCGCAACCCUUGUCGUUAAUUGCCAUCAUUUAGUUGGGCACUUUAGCGAGACUGCCGGUGACAAACCGGAGGAAGGUGGGGAUGACGUCAAGUCCUCAUGGCCCUUAUGGGUAGGGCUUCACACGUCAUACAAUGGUCGGUACAAAGGGUCGCCAAGCCGCGAGGUGGAGCCAAUCCCAGAAAGCCGAUCGUAGUCCGGAUUGCAGGCUGCAACUCGCCUGCAUGAAGUCGGAAUCGCUAGUAAUCGUGGAUCAGCAUGUCACGGUGAAUACGUUCCCGGGUCUUGUACACACCGCCCGUCACACCAUGGGAGCGGGUUCCGCCAGAAGUAGGUAGCCUAACCGCAAGGAGGGCGCUUACCACGGCGGGGUUCGUGACUGGGGUGAAGUCGUAACAAGGUAGCCGUAGGGGAACCUGCGGCUG
Molecule: ribosomal RNA, 1287 nt
Filed under: metagenome
Description: bacterial SSU rRNA
Rfam family: Bacterial small subunit ribosomal RNA
Source: RNAcentral